RNAcentral lists this ribosomal RNA (229 nucleotides) under uncultured bacterium. RNAcentral describes it as "partial 16S ribosomal RNA". It matches the Rfam family "Bacterial small subunit ribosomal RNA", at positions 568 to 796 of the family's 1533-position model. The record is from RNAcentral.
UCCGCAGGCGGUCAAUUAAGUCAGAGGUGAAAUACCAUAGCUCAACUAUGGAACUGCCUUUGAUACUGGUUGACUUGAGUCAUAUGGAAGUAGAUAGAAUGUGUAGUGUAGCGGUGAAAUGCAUAGAUAUUACACAGAAUACCGAUUGCGAAGGCAGUCUACUACGUAUGUACUGACGCUGAGGGACGAAAGCGUGGGGAGCGAACAGGAUUAGAUACCCUGGUAGUCC